UAGGGAAUCUUCCACAAUGGGCGCAAGCCUGAUGGAGCAACACCGCGUGAGUAAAGAAGGGUUUCGGCUCGUAAAGCUCUGUUGUUAAAGAAGAACACGUAUGAGAGUAACUGUUCAUACGUUGACGGUAUUUAACCAGAAAGUCACGGCUAACUACGUGUCAG
Molecule: ribosomal RNA, 164 nt
Filed under: uncultured bacterium
Lineage: Bacteria
Description: partial 16S ribosomal RNA
Rfam family: Bacterial small subunit ribosomal RNA
Source: RNAcentral